Cuculus canorus (common cuckoo) is the source of this 508-nucleotide long non-coding RNA. RefSeq lists it as uncharacterized. The transcript has 4 exons. NCBI's taxonomy places the organism in Eukaryota, Metazoa, Chordata, Aves, Cuculiformes, Cuculidae. The record is from RefSeq and is a predicted model, not a curated record.
GAUCAUUUGGAGGUCCCAAGCUAUGCAGUAGCAGUGUCUGACUGGGCAGCAGCAGCAAGGGGAGCCAGCAAACUCUGCACAGAAGAGCCAGCUGCCUUCCUGUCUUGCGGUUCUUUUUCCACAGCUGGGGAUAGCGCAUGCAAAUUUAUCCAUAUACCCUGUUGAGACACGUUCGUAACUGUCUUUUGGAGAAGGCUUCUUCAUUCAGGGAGCAACAGCACUGGAGUAUGAAGAACCUCAGAAGGAAUACAGUUGGAACAGUCUAUAAAAGUCAACCCAACCAUCUCUUUAAAUGCUUGGGACUGAAGGAGUUCUAUGCUUUGUUACCACACCAUUUCAGGAGCUUUCUUUCUCCCUGGAACUGGUUCCCCUUGGAGCACCCUCAUGCAGAGAGCAGAGGAGCAGUGUUUUGGGACCUGCCCUUCUCACUUCAAAGUGGAGGUACCUAUUUCAGAGAGAAUGAAGGAGAAAUGGCCAAAGCAGCCUGAAAAACAUUGCUGUGGAAAAU